Molecule: ribosomal RNA, 253 nt
Filed under: uncultured bacterium
Lineage: Bacteria
Description: partial 16S ribosomal RNA
Rfam family: Bacterial small subunit ribosomal RNA
Source: RNAcentral
UACGUAGGGUGCAAGCGUUGUCCGGAAUUAUUGGGCGUAAAGAGCUCGUAGGCGGCCUGUCGCGUCGGCUGUGAAAACCCGGGGCUCAACCCCGGGCCUGCAGUCGAUACGGGCAGGCUAGAGUUCGGCAGGGGAGACUGGAAUUCCUGGUGUAGCGGUGAAAUGCGCAGAUAUCAGGAGGAACACCGGUGGCGAAGGCGGGUCUCUGGGCCGAGACUGACACUGAGGAGCGAAAGCGUGGGGAGCGAACAGG